Molecule: unclassified non-coding RNA, 282 nt
Filed under: plant metagenome
Description: partial contains small subunit ribosomal RNA, internal transcribed spacer 1, and 5.8S ribosomal RNA
Source: RNAcentral
UUUCCGUAGGUGAACCUGCGGAAGGAUCAUUGUCGAAACCUGCCCAGCAGAACGACCCGCGAACUUGUAUAAACAACCGGGGGCGGGGGGCGUUCUCGCCCCGUGCCCCCGAACGGCGGGGAGACACUCGUGCCUUCUUGCCGAACAACGUACCCCGGCGCGGUCUGCGCCAAGGAACUUCAACUAAAGAGUACCUCCGGUCGCCUCGGAAACGGCGUGCGUGCCGGGGGCGAAUCUCGUGCAAAACCAUAACGACUCUCGGCAACGGAUAUCUCGGCUCUC